AUCAAAAACAUCACCUCUAGCAUAAUCAGUAUUAGAGGCACUGCCUGCCCAGUGACAAUCGUUAAACGGCCGCGGUAUUCUGACCGUGCAAAGGUAGCAUAAUCAUUUGUUCUUUAAAUAAGGACUUGUAUGAAUGGCCACACGAGGGUUUUACUGUCUCUUACUUUUAAUCAGUGAAAUUGACCUCUCCGUGAAGAGGCGGAGAUAAAAAAAUAAGACGAGAAGACCCUAUGGAGCUUUAAUUAACCAACCCAAAAAACCACAAAUCCAAACCACCAAGGGAUAACAAAACUUUAUAUGGGUUGACAAUUUUGGUUGGGGUGACCUCGGAGCAUAAAAAACCCUCCGAGUGAUUAAAACCUAGGCUUACCAGCCAAAGUAUUAUAUCACUUAUUGAUCCAAAGUUUUUUGAUCAACGGAACAAGUUACCCUAGGGAUAACAGCGCAAUCCUAUUCUAGAGUCCAUAUCGACAAUAGGGUUUACGACCUCGAUGUUGGAUCAGGACAUCCUAAUGGUGUAGCCGCUAUUAAGGGUUCGUUUGUUCAACGAUUAAAGUCCUACGUGAUCUGAGUU
RNAcentral lists this ribosomal RNA (574 nucleotides) under Mesoplodon bidens (Sowerby's beaked whale). RNAcentral's name for it is "partial 16S ribosomal RNA". It matches the Rfam family "Bacterial large subunit ribosomal RNA", at positions 1806 to 2611 of the family's 2925-position model. The record is from RNAcentral. Lineage: Eukaryota; Metazoa; Chordata; Mammalia; Artiodactyla; Ziphiidae.